This 279-nucleotide ribosomal RNA is filed under the name uncultured bacterium. RNAcentral describes it as "partial 16S ribosomal RNA". It matches the Rfam family "Bacterial small subunit ribosomal RNA", at positions 506 to 784 of the family's 1533-position model. The record is from RNAcentral.
UGCCAGCCGCCGCGGUAAUACGGAGGGGGUUAGCGUUGUUCGGAAUUACUGGGCGUAAAGCGCACGUAGGCGGACUAUUAAGUCAGAGGUGAAAUCCCAGGGCUCAACCCUGGAACUGCCUUUGAUACUGGUAGUCUUGAGUUCGAGAGAGGUGAGUGGAAUUCCGAGUGUAGAGGUGAAAUUCGUAGAUAUUCGGAGGAACACCAGUGGCGAAGGCGGCUCACUGGCUCGAUACUGACGCUGAGGUGCGAAAGUGUGGGGAGCAAACAGGAUUAGAUA